UACGUAGGGUCCAAGCGUUAUCCGGAAUCACUGGGCGUAAAGCGUGCGUAGGCGGUCUGUUAAGUGAGAUGUGAAAGCGUGUGGCUCAACCAUAUCGUUGUGUUUCAUACUGGCAGACUAGAGGGAAGCAGAGGCAAGUGGAAUUAGCAGUGUAGCAGUGAAAUGCGUAGAGAUUGCUAGGAACACCAAUGGCGAAGGCAGCUUGCUGGGCUUUUUCUGACGCUGAGGUACGAAAGCGUGGGGAGCGAACAGGAUUAGAAACCCCAGUAGUCC
This 273-nucleotide ribosomal RNA is filed under the name uncultured bacterium. RNAcentral describes it as "partial 16S ribosomal RNA". It matches the Rfam family "Bacterial small subunit ribosomal RNA", at positions 524 to 796 of the family's 1533-position model. The record is from RNAcentral.